Molecule: ribosomal RNA, 1372 nt
Filed under: uncultured bacterium
Lineage: Bacteria
Description: bacterial SSU rRNA
Rfam family: Bacterial small subunit ribosomal RNA
Source: RNAcentral
GAUGAACGCUGGCGGCGUGCCUAAUACAUGCAAGUCGAGCGAACGGACGAGAAGCUUGCUUCUCUGAUGUUAGCGGCGGACGGGUGAGUAACACGUGGAUAACCUACCUAUAAGACUGGGAUAACUUCGGGAAACCGGAGCUAAUACCGGAUAAUAUUUUGAACCGCAUGGUUCAAAAGUGAAAGACGGUCUUGCUGUCACUUAUAGAUGGAUCCGCGCUGCAUUAGCUAGUUGGUAAGGUAACGGCUUACCAAGGCAACGAUGCAUAGCCGACCUGAGAGGGUGAUCGGCCACACUGGAACUGAGACACGGUCCAGACUCCUACGGGAGGCAGCAGUAGGGAAUCUUCCGCAAUGGGCGAAAGCCUGACGGAGCAACGCCGCGUGAGUGGUGAAGGUCUUCGGAUCGUAAAACUCUGUUAUUAGGGAAGAACAUAUGUGUAAGUAACUGUGCACAUCUUGACGGUACCUAAUCAGAAAGCCACGGCUAACUACGUGCCAGCAGCCGCGGUAAUACGUAGGUGGCAAGCGUUAUCCGGAAUUAUUGGGCGUAAAGCGCGCGUAGGCGGUUUUUUAAGUCUGAUGUGAAAGCCCACGGCUCAACCGUGGAGGGUCAUUGGAAACUGGAAAACUUGAGUGCAGAAGAGGAAAGUGGAAUUCCAUGUGUAGCGGUGAAAUGCGCAGAGAUAUGGAGGAACACCAGUGGCGAAGGCGACUUUCUGGUCUGUAACUGACGCUGAUGUGCGAAAGCGUGGGGAUCAAACAGGAUUAGAUACCCUGGUAGUCCACGCCGUAAACGAUGAGUGCUAAGUGUUAGGGGGUUUCCGCCCCUUAGUGCUGCAGCUAACGCAUUAAGCACUCCGCCUGGGGAGUACGACCGCAAGGUUGAAACUCAAAGGAAUUGACGGGGACCCGCACAAGCGGUGGAGCAUGUGGUUUAAUUCGAAGCAACGCGAAGAACCUUACCAAAUCUUGACAUCCUCUGACCCCUCUAGAGAUAGAGGUUUCCCCUUCGGGGGACAGAGUGACAGGUGGUGCAUGGUUGUCGUCAGCUCGUGUCGUGAGAUGUUGGGUUAAGUCCCGCAACGAGCGCAGCCCUUAAGCUUAGUUGCCAUCAUUAAGUUGGGCACUCUAAGUUGACUGCCGGUGACAAACCGGAGGAAGGUGGGGAUGACGUCAAAUCAUCAUGCCCCUUAUGAUUUGGGCUACACACGUGCUACAAUGGACAAUACAAAGGGCAGCGAAACCGCGAGGUCAAGCAAAUCCCAUAAAGUUGUUCUCAGUUCGGAUUGUAGUCUGCAACUCGACUAUAUGAAGCUGGAAUCGCUAGUAAUCGUAGAUCAGCAUGCUACGGUGAAUACGUUCCCGGGUCU